Molecule: long non-coding RNA, 2271 nt
Organism: Falco peregrinus (peregrine falcon)
Lineage: Eukaryota; Metazoa; Chordata; Aves; Falconiformes; Falconidae
Exons: 2
Source: RefSeq, a predicted model, not a curated record
ACAUACAGGUGCCUCUGUGACUGUGUUUUUAACAGUCCACAGGGAGCUGGCGUGCCCCAAAGGAUUUCGUACCAAGUUCCCUUCUCGUCUGUGAUUGCUGCGUAUCGUCAGCUGGAGACGUUGUUGACCAGAAGUGAAGCUCUUUACAGAAGCAGCAGGAGUUGCUUCUCAGAAUCCCCCUUCCUACGGAACGAAGCCCUUCAGCCUGAGCAAUGCAGUCACAGGUCGCGGAUUCUUCAACUCGGGCUGAUUCACAGCAUCUCUGUUGUCACUCAAGGGCAACCCGCAGCUUUCAAGGAUGGCCUUGGCCGUAUCACGGUGCAGGCCUGCAGCACCCGCAGUGGUGCGUGCCCCGCUGCCGCAGGGCACACGAGCAGGGGAUCUUUCCUGCACGCACUGGAAGGAAGGGUGCACCUCGCUCCUCACUCUGCGCUCACCCCUGCACUUCUCCAGUCCAGCCCCGCUGCAAUGUUUGCUGUAUGUGUAGGUGUCUUCACAAACCCACUCGACAGCUCAUUCCCUUUCCCAUAUGCCAUUCUUCCACAUUGCUGGCUCAUGCACAUGUUUUCCAGUUACAUUAGUGGCUUCCUUUAAAAUUCCAUUUCUAAGACGACACUUAGGUCUUCUGACUUAUGCCACUGCUGUGCAUUUUGUAGUUUCCCCUCUACAUUUCUUUCUUUCUUCUUGUCCUUGUUUCUCACACAGAAUCCUCCCUUCUGGGCCCGUGGUGACUCUUACUGCUGGUGACACUGCUGCCCCGCAGCAGGGCUGUGUCAACCAGUACCACUGCCUGGCUGCAGCUCAGCCAGGCAAGGUUACUGCGAUCUUUUGCCUGCAGGAGGAUUAAACCACUCAAGGAAAAAACGUCUCCUCAGCACAUCUGGAUGUGGAAAUUUACUGCCAUUGAAAUUACUAUUAUGGUCAAAUAAGUUUUUUUAAAAAAAUUACCUUAUUAUAUAAGGGAAUGUAUCCAUACUCUGAACUGAAAAGAAAGGCAUCCCUGCUUCAUGUGGCUCUUUGUCAGCAUUGAAAACCUUAUUCAGCUGUUUAAUUCUCCAUUUACUUUUCCCUUUAGCCUGCUUCUGGUCCUUCCCACUUACCAGACACCAAUGUUGUUUCCCUUGCUUGUGCUUGUGUGUAUUCUGUUGAGAAUAAAAAUAAGGAGAAGCGGGGAUCAGCCCAGCAGCUUGGUAGUAGUUGGCACAUGUAGAAACAAUUAACUGUUGCUGCCGCACACUUGUAUGACCUGGGGAAAUCUUUAGGCUGUCUGUAGGUUAGAUUCCGACUGUUGAAGAGUGUUAAUAGUGUCUCUUCAGCAACAUGGUUGUGAGAAGAGAUGCUAGAAUCGUCAGGGUCAGUGAAGGGACUCUGCUCGUGAAAACUUCCAUGUGACACAGAACACUUGGUCAAUGGCACGUACUUGUCUUCCUAGGUUUUUAUUGCCAGGAUGUGUGGAUUAAACAAUGUGAUCAGCAUCUGCCAUGUAUAGUUCUUAUUAUUCUUUCAUCUUCCAAAGAAAGCGGAAAAAGGCUGGAAGUUGCUCUUGCAGUCAGCUGCGGGACAGACACUGACUCCAGCGGGGAAAGGAGAGGGCAGCGAAGCUCUUCGCUGCCGUUAAUACUCUUGGAGGGGGAGGGUGGCAGCUCUGAAGACGAGUGAAGGGAAAAAAAUUCUAACAGUACAAAUAGCCCACGGUAAGAAGGAUAAUACUUGGCUUGCCUUGCUGAUGAAGUGUAUAUAUCCUUCAUGGACUAUCCCUAGCAGACUUGGAGACUUCUUAGUUCAGUUAUUCUUUUACACAGUGUUUUUAUUACCAAAUUGGGGCUUCAUUCAAGUCCCCUGGAAACCCAUUAGAGAACUCUUAACUCGGCAGAACUGGAUGAGCUUUGAUAUAUGAAUUAUAUUAAGUAUUUCUAUCCAUCAAACUCUCCACCAGUUAAUGCAUCUUUUUAAGUUUCAAGCAAUCACAUGACGCUUCUCUAAACAUCAUUGCUGCUGACUUGAUCCAGAAAGAAUCAUGUUAACCAAAAUCCUUUUUAAGGCUUCCAUGCUGCUCAGGAUUUUGUCUCAGAUGUUUCUGCUUUUUCUGGGCACGCUCAGGAUGUUUGUUUCCAUUUCGUGUCGAGGUGGGGAUUUUCUGUUUGGUUUGGGAGUUGGUUUUUUGUUUGCUGAUCAGUUCUGACAAAUCUUGUCGUUCUUAAUAAUUUAAGUUCUAAAUAACUUUUAUGGCAUUUUCCUUUAAAAAAAAAAAAAAAGACUCCUCAUCUUGAA